Molecule: ribosomal RNA, 497 nt
Filed under: uncultured bacterium
Lineage: Bacteria
Description: partial 16S ribosomal RNA
Rfam family: Bacterial small subunit ribosomal RNA
Source: RNAcentral
GAUGAACGCUGGCGGCGUGCCUAAUACAUGCAAGUCGAGCGAACAGACGAGGAGCUUGCUCCUCUGACGUUAGCGGCGGACGGGUGAGUAACACGUGGAUAACCUACCUAUAAGACUGGGAUAACUUCGGGAAACCGGAGCUAAUACCGGAGAAUAUAUUGAACCGCAUGGUUCAAUAGUGAAAGACGGUUUUGCUGUCACUUAUAGAUGGAUCCGCGCCGCAUUAGCUGGUUGGUAAGGUAACGGCUUACCAAGGCAACGAGGCGUAGCCGAGCUGAGAGGGUGAUCGGCCACACUGGAACUGGGACACGGUCCAGGCUCCUACGGGAGGCAGCAGUAGGGAAUCUUACGCAAUGGGCGAAAGCCUGACGGAGCAACGCCGCGUGAGUGAUGAAGGUCUUCGGAUCGUAAAACUCUGUUAUUAGGGAAGAACAAAUGUGUAAGUAAAUAUGCACGUCGUGACGGUAACUAAUCAGAAAGCCACGGCUAACUACGUG